This 253-nucleotide ribosomal RNA is filed under the name uncultured bacterium. RNAcentral's name for it is "partial 16S ribosomal RNA". It matches the Rfam family "Bacterial small subunit ribosomal RNA", at positions 524 to 776 of the family's 1533-position model. The record is from RNAcentral.
UACGUAGGGUGCAAGCGUUAAUCGGAAUUACUGGGCGUAAAGCGUGCGCAGGCGGUUCGUCGUGUCCGAUGUGAAAGCCCCGGGCUCAACCUGGGAAUGGCAUUGGAAACUGGCGGACUCGAGUGUGGCAGAGGGGGGUGGAAUUCCGCGUGUAGCAGUGAGAUGCGUAGAGAUGCGGAGGAACACCGAUGGCGAAGGCAGCCCCCUGGGCUAACACUGACGCUCAGGCACGAAAGCGUGGGGAGCAAACAGG